GACGAACGCUGGCGGCGUGCUUAACACAUGCAAGUCGAACGGAAAGGCCUGCUUUCCCUUGUGGAUUGCGGGUACUCGAGUGGCGAACGGGUGAGUAACACGUGAGUGAUCUGCCCCCAACUUGGGUAUAAGCCUGGGAAACUGGGUCUAAUUCCCGAUAGGACUGCAGGGUGGUGCCUGUGGUGGAAAACGAUUUUCUAGUGGUUGGGGAUGAGCUCGCGGCCUAUCAGCUUGUUGGUGGGGUAAUGGCCUACCAAGGCGGCGACGGGUAGCCGGCCUGAGAGGGUGGACGGCCACAUUGGGACUGAGAUACGGCCCAGAAUCCUACGGGAGGCAGCAGUGGGGAAUAUUGCACAAUGGGCGGAAGCCUGAUGCAGCGACGCCGCGUGGGGGAUGACGGCCUUCGGGUUGUAAACUCCUUUCGACCGCGAGGAAGCCACCUGGUUGGAAGGGUGGUGACGGUAGUGGUAGAAGAAGCACCGGCUAACUACGUG
Molecule: ribosomal RNA, 494 nt
Filed under: uncultured bacterium
Lineage: Bacteria
Description: partial 16S ribosomal RNA
Rfam family: Bacterial small subunit ribosomal RNA
Source: RNAcentral